AACGAACGCUGGCGGCAGGCCUAACACAUGCAAGUCGAGCGAGGACUUCGGUCCUAGCGGCGGACGGGUGAGUAACGCGUGGGAACGUGCCCUUUGCUUCGGAAUAGCCCUGGGAAACUGGGAGUAAUACCGGAUGAGCCCUUUGGGGGAAAGAUUUAUCGGCGAAGGAUCGGCCCGCGUUGGAUUAGGUAGUUGGUGGGGUAAUGGCCUACCAAGCCGACGAUCCAUAGCUGGUUUGAGAGGAUGAUCAGCCACACUGGGACUGAGACACGGCCCAGACUACUACGGGAGGCAGCAGUGGGGAAUCUUAGAAAAUGGGGGAAACCCUGAUCGAGCCAUGACGCGUGAGCGAUGAAGGCCUUAGGGUUGUAAAGCUCUUUCAGCUGGGAAGAUAAUGACGGUACCAGCAGAAGAAGCCCCGGCUAACUCCGUG
This 433-nucleotide ribosomal RNA is filed under the name uncultured bacterium. Its description in RNAcentral is "partial 16S ribosomal RNA". It matches the Rfam family "Bacterial small subunit ribosomal RNA", at positions 29 to 507 of the family's 1533-position model. The record is from RNAcentral.